UGGGGAAUUUUGGACAAUGGGCGAAAGCCUGAUCCAGCAAUGCCGCGUGUGUGAAGAAGGCCUUCGGGUUGUAAAGCACUUUUGUCCGGAAAGAAAUCCUUGGCUCUAAUACAGUCGGGGGAUGACGGUACCGGAAGAAUAAGCACCGGCUAACUACGUGCCAGCAGCCGCGGUAAUACGUAGGGUGCAAGCGUUAAUCGGAAUUACUGGGCGUAAAGCGUGCGCAGGCGGUUUGCUAAGACCGAUGUGAAAUCCCCGGGCUCAACCUGGGAACUGCAUUGGUGACUGGCAGGCUAGAGUAUGGCAGAGGGGGGUAGAAUUCCACGUGUAGCAGUGAAAUGCGUAGAGAUGUGGAGGAAUACCGAUGGCGAAGGCAGCCCCCUGGGCCAAUACUGACGCUCAUGCACGAAAAGCGUGGGGGAGCAAAACAGGAUUAGAUACCCUGGUAGUCCACGCCCUAAAACGAUGUCAACUAGUUGUUGGGGAUUCAUUUCCUUAGUAACGUAGCUAACGCGUGAAGUUGACCGCCUGGGGGAGUACGGUCGCAAGAUUAAAACUUAAAGGAAUUGACGGGGUCAUAGCUGUUUCC
Molecule: ribosomal RNA, 589 nt
Filed under: uncultured bacterium
Lineage: Bacteria
Description: partial 16S ribosomal RNA
Rfam family: Bacterial small subunit ribosomal RNA
Source: RNAcentral